AAUAGCCUAACGGCUGAACCAGCAACUUGGAGGAAUGUAUAGCUACGGCUAAUUGUGUAUAUCUACACGAUAUCGACUCUGUCGAAUAAAAUUCUGGGUAAAUUAUGAUGAUGACAUUUUUUACCUAUGUGUCUUGACCAAAUUGUGUGCCAGCAGUCGCGGUAAUACAUAGAAGACUAGUGUUAUUCAUCUUUAAUAGGUUUAAAGGGUACCUAGACGGUAGAUCAAGCCCUAGACGGGACUAAUUUGCUAGAGUUACUUAUGAGGGGGCUUUAAAGUACUAAUGGUGUAGAGAUAAAAUUUUGUAAUACCAUUUUUCGUAAAGAAAAAUUAUGGCACUGGUAAAGGUGAAAGCAUCCCCCUAUGUGAUAACUGACGUUGAAGGACGAAGGCUUUGGGUCGCGAAUAGGAUUAGAUACCCUAGUAGUCAAAGCAGAAAAUUAUGAGUGUCAUAGAUUAGAUAAUACAGUUUAUUCUAUAAAUGAAAGUGUAAGCACUCCACCUCAAGAGUAAUUUGGCAACAUUGGAACUGAAAUCAUUAGACCGUUUCUGAAACCAGUAGUGAAGUAUGUUGUUUAAUUCGAUGAUCCGCGAAAAACCUUACCACAAUUUGAAUAUGUAUACUUUUGAUAUAUUUACAAGCGUUGCACGGCUGUCUUCAGUUAAUGUCGUGAGACUUUGGUUAGAUCCAUUAAAUUAACGUAAGCCCUUACUUUAUUUUCAUAUAAAGUAGUUCUCCACCAUAUUGGACAAGAUAACAGGGACUAAGACAAGUCAUCAUGGCCUGAAUAUUGUGGGCUAUAGACGUGCCACAUAAACCUCUACAAAGGGAUGUGAAAUUGCGAAAUUAAACUAAUCCCCAAAACUGGAUAUAAUAUCAAU
Molecule: ribosomal RNA, 882 nt
Filed under: Ramalina europaea
Lineage: Eukaryota; Fungi; Ascomycota; Lecanoromycetes; Lecanorales; Ramalinaceae
Description: SSU rRNA
Rfam family: Bacterial small subunit ribosomal RNA
Source: RNAcentral